Molecule: long non-coding RNA, 9929 nt
Filed under: Populus tremula
Lineage: Eukaryota; Viridiplantae; Streptophyta; Magnoliopsida; Malpighiales; Salicaceae
Description: long non-coding RNA (PTRE_LNC001750)
Source: RNAcentral
UAAUUGAAACCUAGCCCUGGGAAGAUCCAUGACAUGAUCAAGGCUCUGGUAUCACCACCGAGAAUGUUACACGGUGAAGAUUUUAACGAUGAACCUGAAGAUGUUGAGGGUCAGGACGGAGAGCGGCGGCAAAGGUGAUCACUCGGAACAUGCGUGAAAACCUGACGGGCCACCGGAGGGAUGAAACUCUUCUUUCUUCCAUGUAGAAAAGUUUAAACUUGGUAAAAAAUUCUUGAAACCCAACCCCUCCUGUACACAUAUAAUAUACUCAAUGCUGCAUUUUAAUUCAUUCACGUAGGUCUCUCUCUCUCUCUCUGUUUUUUUUUUUUUUUUUCAUGAAAUUAAAAGAUAUUGGAUAAGCUGAGAUCAAGGGUUGCCCUCAGCAUUAAUUUAGGGCAAGGAAUAUUUUAUUAUGUAAGGGUAAUGAUAGUGGGUGGUGGUAGGUUUCUAGGUAGCUAUCUCUCCUACCGUCUAUAAAUGCCCAAAGAUCCCACCUCUCAAUUUAUACGGUUAAUGUCAGCGUCACCACUUAAAUUUAUCGUCAACAUUUCUGGGUAGGUGGUCACCACUGUAGGCUGCUAUUCUGCCCCAUGCAAUAGCGAGACCCGCAAAGGUUUGCAAUUUAAUGUGUUUUUUUUAUUAUAAUUUAAUUUUUUAAAUAAUAAUAAUAAUAUUUUUAAAUGGUUUUGAUAUAUUGAUAUUAAAACUAAUUUUUUAAAAAUAAAAAAUAUAUUAUUUUAAUAUAUUUUCAAAUAAAAACACUUUAAAAAUUAAAUCUUACCACUUUUAUUAAAUUAAUAUGGUGUCCAGGUCAGCUUGAACGUACUUCAACUAAUCCAAUAAUUACGAGUUCAAGUCCCUUUAUGAUCAUUUUAGAUUGGUUUUUGUUGUAGAUUUUGAGGUUGCUCAAGGGUGUUAUUGUAAUUGUUAUAUAUGUAUUAUUUUUAAAAAAACUUGUCGGUGAUAGCAACGCAUGCGCCAGUGUGCGGACGAUCCUCAUGUCAUUUAGUCAGCUCGUGUGAGGCUAUUCAAUCAUUAAACAUCGCUUUAUAGGGAGGCGUUUGAAAGAUCUCAGCGUCAUUUACACGGUGGUAUGACGUGUGUAUCAAAAGAGUUGUUGGUUUGGCAUUGGAGACCAUUUUUCUCUCCUUAUUCUUCUAUUUCUCCACCUCGAAACUUGCGCCACCCUUGCAAAAUUUCAGAGCAAUACCUUCAAUUUUUAUCUCCUUCACAUUUGGUCUCUAUCUUUUUUCACUUUUUUUUUAAAUAAACUAUAAAAUUAUAAAUGUUUAUUAAUUUUAUAACUACCAUUUUUUAAUAUAUACAUAAUCUAUCACAUUAUUUUUAAUUUCACACUGCUAUUUUUUAAUCUAUAAAUAAUCUAUCAAAUUACAAAUGUUUUUCAAUUUUAUCCCAUGUGAUUUUUUAUAUUUUAAAUUUGGUCAUUUUCUUUUAAUUGUUAUUUAUUUUAUUUGGGAUCAUUUUUUUAAUUUUUCCUUAGAAAUUUAAUCAUUUUUGGGUUUUUUUAUCAAAUUUUAUCUCCAUUAUUUUUGUUGUUUUUUUCUUUUGCAAGUUUUUUAUUAAUCUUUUUUCCAUGAUUUUAUAAUUCAAAAUUAAAUUUGUUGAGAGUUAAUUUUCUUAAUUGAACUCGGGUUCAGGAUCUCACAAGUUGUAGGUUUUAAAGAUCAUAUUAGGUUUAAGAGGUUUGCCCGUGUUUUCUUAGUUUUUUUCUCUUUUUUUUUAAGUUGAAGUUUUCUAUUUUUUUAUCCAUAUUUUUUUAAGUUUUGUUUUUUGCAGUUUGAUUAUGUAUAGUUAGCACUCUAUAAUUUUUUUCAAUUCCAUCCAUACUAUUUUUUAAUCUAUAAAUAAUCUAUCAAAUUAUAUAUUUUUUUCAAUUUCACUCCUAUGAUUUUUUAUUUUUCAAAUUUGAUCCUUAUUUUUUUAAUUGAUAUUUAUUUUGUUUGGAAUCAUUUUAAAAACUAUAUAUUUUUAAAAAUUUUCUUAGGUUUUUUCUCUCUCAAAUUUUAUUAUCAUUCUUUUUUUGUUUUUUUUUUUGCUUUUACAAGUCGACACGCGAUUUACAACCAAGCACUCCACCCCAUAAAAAUCCUUCAGUUUGAUUCCCUAUUUUUAAUUAAUAUUUUCUAACUAUUUUAGCAUUCAAAAUUAAAAAUUUGAGAAUUAAGCCUCUUGAUUGAAGUCGGGUCUAAAAUUUAAUGAGUUGCAAGUUUUAUAAAUUAGACAAAGUUUGAGGUUCACCUGGAAUUUGUUUUUUUUUUUUUUUAAAGAUAAUAUUUUCUUCUUCUUAUCUUGGAGUUUUGUUUGUUAUUUUUUGUGGUUUUUCUAUUAAGUUAGUAUUGGGUUGUUUGAUAAUCCAGAUAGGCUCGGGUCAAGUCUAUUCUUUCUUUUAAAUUCUUUUAUUGUUUUUGUUUGCUAAUUUAAUUAUUGUUGUUGUAUUUUUUUUUUAAAUUAUCAAUUAAAUUAACUACUCGUGACUUGAAUUAUUUUUAACCUGACAUGUUUUACUAGCGACAUACUCAGCCCACGGAGGAUCAUAGUUAACAAAUCUUAAUACCAAGACUAAUGGAAAAUGAGCCAACCAUACCAUAGGCAACAACUUCUUAAUUAUUGAUGUAACCCCAUGAAAGCUCAACUAACAUAAAGUUUAUUAUAAAAUUCAAUUAUUUUAAGUUUAAUAUUGGAAACAUUACACGCAGUUGAAUUUGUUAACACAUUUGCAUAUUAUUUUUAGGUGGGAUAUAUUAUUAUUUAUACAUGGAGAGGAGCAUCCUCUUUUGUCGUCGUCCUCGCCGGAUGGAAAAGAAAAAUGGAGAAUCUCAUCCUCUUGCAACCCGAGGAGGGAAAACUACAAAACCCACAAGUUAAGAGCAACUUAAAAUACUUGUUUAUGCAUGACAAUUAAGAAGUUUGUCCUCGAGGAGAUGAGUUGAUGUUUUAUUAAUAAAUAAUUAUCACGACUACAUGUAUUUUUUUUCCCAUUAUCAGAAGUAUCCUCCGGGCCAGGAAAGCAGGGAACAUGUUAGGUGGAACGAUGUGGAAAAAUUUCAGUAAGAUUCAACCUUCCGAUCACAACUUUUCCCUGUUUUUUAUUUAUUUAUAUUUUUAAAAUAUUUUUUUAAAAAUAUAAAUGUUUUAAAUUUUUUUCUUUGCUUCGUAUUAAUAUUUUUAUAAUAUUUCAGAUCAUUUUGAUGUACUAAUAUCAAAAAUAAUUUUUAAAAAUAAAAAAUAUUAUUUUAAUGUAUUUCUGAGUGAAAAGCAUUUUAAAAAACAACUACAGCUACACUCUCAGAUACGCUGAGUCUUCGGAAGCAUUACUGACCGUGGAUGUGUUUGUCAAUGUAGUUGAAAUUGUGUUUUUUAAUAGUUUAUUUUUAAAAAAAUUUAAUUUUUUUUAUGUUUUCAGAUUAUUUUAAUAUCAUAAAUAAUUUUAAAAAUUUUUAAAAUUUUAAUAUAUUUUUAAAUAAAAAAUAUAUUAAACUACCAUCCCUGUCACAUUGUCAAGAACACAUAAUUUUCCCCUCCUCCUGAGUUUACAAUUGACUUUAAAUGGUUUUUGGGAAUCAAUGGUCGGAUCAAAACCGCCAAGUACGUGGAUAACUUGGAUAUUUACUCAAGAUCUCCCCCGUAACUACACAAAAUUCACAUUAUUAAAUCAUAUCAAGUCAAUUGAGAUUUGUUACUUCAUAAUAAAAUAAUAAGAUGGCAUUUAUUAAUUAAUUUGGUAUGGGGCCAAAAAGAAAAGAAAUUAAAGAAAAAGUUGCUUUCCCUAUAGACACUGGUAGGAUAGAUAUUAAUUCAAUUCAAUAAAAGAAAUAAAUGUUCACCAUAAAUUACAUGCUUGAAGAAUAAAUGUGGUGUGAAUAAAAAUGUGCCCUAAGGGCUCCAUUUUGUAUUAUAUUUAAACUGACCACGACUUAAAAAGUUCUUUAGUUUUCAUUGCUUAAAUUUAUUUUUUAUUUAGAAUUAUAAUAACAACUUGUAUUUAAAAAAAUUAUAAUUUAUAAUUUUUUUUAAAACUUGCCUUUUUAAAUUAUUACUGUAAAAACAUUUUUGGAUCGCGAUGUUUUUUUUAAAUGCUUAUCGCUCGAAAAUACAUUAAAAUAAUUAAUUUUUCUCAUAUAUAUUUAUUUUUAUUUUUAACAUUAGCACACCAAAAUCAUCAAAACAUAAUAAAAAAAUCCAAUCUGAUGUUUUUUUAAGUUAAACACACUUUUAAAAUAUAAUCAAACACAAUUUCAAAUACAAAACCAAUAGCUUUUUUUAAAACUUGCCUUUUUAAAUUAUUAUUGUAAAAACUUUUAUGGACUAGGAUUUUAAAAAAAAAAUACUUCUCACUUAAAAAUACAUUAAAAUGGUUAUUAUAUAUAUAUAUAUAUAUAUUAUUUUUAACAUCAACACAUCAAAAUCAUAAAAAAAUAAUCCAAUUUAAUAUAUAUUUUAAAUUAAACACACUUUUAAAAUAUAAUCAAACACAAUUUCAAAUACAAAUCAAUCAUUCUUUCUUACAAGGAUGGAUUGAGUCUUGUCUAUGAUGAACAUUGCGGGCUCCUCUUCUUGUCAUGUCAAGAACAAGAAAUGAAGGGCAUGCAUGCAAGAGCCAAAAUUUGAAUGCAAGAGAGCCUCUUAUGGCCACAGAGCUCAAUCAUGGAGUCACAUUUCUUUUUUGCAGCAAAGGCAGUGAGUGUACUCAUAAUAUCCUCCAUGUUUUCACCUUUCAGUGAUUUUUUUCCCGUUGCAUCUUAUCCUUUGAUGUCUCCCAAAUCAUUGCUAACAUUACACGAACGUGGUGGUUAUUAUUAUAACUACUGUUCACUUUGAAUUGCAAAUUUCACGUACUUGCUUUCUUUUAGGGUUUAAUUUUAAAUAGAUCUAUUCUCCUAGUUAAAAGAGUUUGAUCUUAAUAUUUCCCUAAAAAAAAAUUGAUUUGAAAUUUCUUUAAAAUAUUUCAAACUAAGUAGCAUACGUAUUAGAUUUGAUCCACUGUGCUUGUACUGUAAAGAUGAUAAAUAGAAAAAAAAAUCAUUUAAACAUGUGUGGAGUUUGUUUUUGCGUUUUAAAAAUGUUUUUGAAAAAAAUUAAAUUUUUUUAUUUACUUUAAAUUAAUAUUUUUUGGUGUUUUUAGAUUAUUUUGAUACGCUCGUGUCAAAAAUAUUUUUUUAAAAACAAAACAAAUUAUUUUGAUGUAUUUUUAAGUAAAAAACACUUUGAAAAACAAUCACAACUAUACUAUUAAACAAACACCCGCAACUUAAUUAACAUUUUUAAAAAAAAAACAAAUUAUUUUGAUGUAUUUUUAAGUAAAAAACACUUUGAAAAACAAUCACAACUACACUAUUAAACAAACACCCGCAACUUAAUUAACAUUUUUAAAAAAUAAUAUCAUUUUUUUUUCCAAAUAUUUUUUUAAAAAUAUAGAUCUACAUCAACUUGUUAAUUUAAUAAUUGACUGUUAAAGCUGUGAUAUGAGUUAAAUUUUAAUAAUUAUUUUAAAUAGAUCCAUUCUCCUAAACUAAAAGUUUGAUAUGAUUAUUUUUCUUGGAAAAUUUUCGUACGAGAUUUCUUGAAAAUACUUCAAACUAGGUAGUAAAUAUAUAUAUUGGAUUUGAUUAGGGAUGAGAAAAAAACUAAGAAAACAAAAAAAAAAUUGAAAAAAUCAAUCCGUGAAAAAAAACUGAUUAAAAAUUUAAAAAAAUCAACUGGGUUGAUUUCGGUUUUAUAAGUCUAAAACUAAAAAAACCGAAUCAAAUUCAAACCGAAAAAAAUUCUAAAAAAAACCAAGCUAAACUAAAAUAACAUAGUCAAACUAAUUUUAAUCGAUUUUUAUUCUAGAAAACCAAACUAAAUUAAAAUUGGAUGGUUUAAACUUGUUUUGAUUUAUUUUUAAAAUUUUAAUUUAAUUAUUAUUAUUUUUAAAAAAUUAAAUAAAUCGCUCGAGAGAUAAUCCUUAUAUUGUAAAAAUGAUAAAUAGAAAAGGAAAAACCCACUGCAUUAAAGAUUACUGAAAAAAAAAGCUAAUGAUUGACAAUAAUAAAUAGUAUACUUUUUUUGUUUGUUCCAUGAUCGAAUUUUAUAGAUAAAGAGCAUUUUUUUUCCUUCUCUUCUGGUCUAGUUUAUUUUCGCUCAAGCAUUUUUAAUUAACAUGUAUUAGAUAUUUGUUACUGUAUUAAUUAAUAUAUUAAUCUUGUUUCUGGUUUUACUGUAUUAAGUAUUAAUCAUCAUUUUAAGAAUCAAAUAGCUAGGGUAAUUCAUUAAUUAGCAUGCAAUAAUUUCACAAAUUAACACAAGAAAGACUAAAAAUCAAUGUUCCAUAUCAAAAGAAAAAAAAAUCAUUAAAAUAGAGAAAAAAAGAAUAUGAAGGGUAGUCCUGUAGAUUCUUUAUUUUUCACCUCUAUUAAAAAUUAAUACGAGAAAAGUUAUAAUAUCUGUGAUAUGAAAUAGCCAUAUAAUGAAGAUUGUUAUCAUAUUGUAAAUUAAUAAUGCUUGGAAAAGUAUUUUUUUUAUUAGACACGAGAUUAAUAUAUAUAUAUAUAUAUAUAUAUAUAUAUAUAAUAUAUAUAUAUAUAUAUAUAUUCUUUUAGAUUAGCUAAAAAUAUUUUUUGUUAGCUUAUUUUUAAUAUUUAUUUUAUUCUAAAAAUGAAAAAAAAAAACAUUUUCGAAGUAAAAUCGAACGUUAACCAACUCGUAAUCGAAACACGUAAAUAAAUCAGAAUUAAGGAAACCAGUUCAAGUCCGACACUUCCUUCCUUCUCUCUCACUUCCUAGUCGGUGAACAAAAAAACAAAACACCAAAGUCUCUUUCUUCUCUCUGCUGAAAUCACACGCUGUGCUGUGCCUGUGACAUCAUCCUUGCUCUACAGCGCGAAUCUCCGGUCACAUUCCACCGGAAUGUCAGAUUCCGUCUGCCAGGUCUCUAUCUCUGCCUCUCUCUAAAGAACUUUCUUUCUAUAUUGUGUCAGCUGCUGCUCUUUUAGAGCACACAAUCACUUUUUUCUGUUCAUCGCCUCUCUACUUUUUCCUCCCUUUCUCCGAUCUCUCCUUUUCUCUUAACCCCCUUUGCUCUUCUUUUCCGGCUCUGUAAAAAAAAUGGCUGCAAACGAUGGACUCUGUAAAGCUUUUUUGGAAGCUGAUUAGCUUUAAAACCUAUACCUUUUCAAAAAUUUUGACUGAAUUUCAAUUUUUUUUGAAUGAACUGGGUUCUUGACUACUUUUUUCAAAACAAAAAUGGGUUUUGUUUUGUUUUUGUUACUGAUGGGAGAAAUUGACAGAACAUGGGAAUAGGGAAUAUUGUUUGCAGUAAAAGGGAGCUGUCCUUUUGGUUUGCUUUUCUCUUAAAUCAAGGUGGCUUCUUUGUGUUGAUUUGUUUAGAUUCUUUUACUUUCUUAACAAGCGGUUUCUUUUAUUGAUUUACUUGAUUCUCGUGCCCAUUUCCUUUUCUUUCACUGCAAAAUCCAAAUCAUUAGUGGUAUCUUCUGAGCUCUCAUACUUCUGCAGAAAGAGGGAUAAGAAGGGGAAGGGUAGGUAGUAGUGAGUUCAAGUUUUGAUAAAACGGAUGUCAUUUGGUUCUGAUUGAUCUAAGUCUGCAGAGGGUUUUGCCUGAUUUGGAGAAGCUACUUUCUUCAUGUCCUGUCUUUCCUAUGUAAUUUCCAUGUCGUGUCUUUCCUAUGCAAUCAUUGACAAUAAUAAGAUUUGGGGUUUCUGUUUAACUUUUUAGAAACCUCACUUUUGUUUUUCCCCGUUAAUCUGUUAAUGCAAUCAUUUUAGCAGUAUGUUGUUUCUCUCUGUGCUUUUCUGUGUCUCUGAACAGAUGUCUUGUUUUAGAGUUGGAGUUUCUGUUUUUUCACGAGGUGCUAAACUGGCAAUUGAUCUGAUGAAUUGUGUUUUACAGUAGGUGUUGAGAUGAACGGGAUGCAGUACAGAAAGGGUCAGAAAAUAGAGAAACCGUUUCCAGGAUGCUUGGGCAGGAUGGUGAAUCUUUUUGAUUUAAGCAAUGGGGUCGCUGGAAACAGGCUGCUCACAGAUAAGCCACAUCAUGAUGGUGAUUAUUUUGUCCAAAUUGUUCUUGCUUGAAAUUCUGUAGUUGAGAUUCUCGUUUCCGUGACAAGCAGCUGUUGCCUGGCUUUAGUAGGUGUUGAUUUUAAUAAUUUUAACUGCUUCGCAAUUUGCUGAUUCAAACAGCUUCAGUCAUCUGUUGUUACGGUUUUGUUAUUCAGGGUGUUUAAGCAAUAUAAAUGAGUCAUCUAGCAUGUUUUGCAUCUGUUGUUGUCUGCUUUUGUGGGCAUUCUGUCUUUUCCAGCCAUCACAGAAUCUCAAUUUGCGUCUUCUGGUUUGCUUAACUCGAUUCGGAGCUCCUACAUGCACCACCGGAACGCAUUACUUUUUAACUUGUUUGCAGGAGAUGGUUAGGAAUAAUUACCUUUCUGGCCUGACUGGGUCUGAAUGCCUGUUUUAUUUUAAGUAGGAGCAGAUCCUUCCUAACUUGUCCUGUGUAGGAAUAAUGGUGGCUGUUUAUUUUUCUAUUAUUGUUGGUGGUGCAUCUUGCAUUAUAUUAUGUCAAGCCAACUGUUGCUGACAUGGAGAUGGUGGUUUGGCAGGUUCUUCAAUCUCAAGGAGUCAAUCAGAUAUGGCAAGGAUGUUGAGUGUACCCUUUGGAGAUCAGGUUGAGGAUAAAAUGGUAAACUAUUGGAAAUUGUUUAUUUGUAAUACUGACCAUAGUCCAGUGAAGGGAGAGAUUCUUUGCAGAACUUGUCUGCAUUUCUCACACCUGCAUUAUAGGAUACUACAAUAUAGUGUGUACUGAUCUAUGUAUGGUCUGCAGAUUGUAUCCGAGUUAAGGAGAAGCUCCUUGAAUAAGAAAGCAAAUGCAACACCUAUGAAGACACUCAUUGCCCAAGAAAUGUCCAAAGAAGUGGAAUCUAAGCAUAAUCCACCCAAUUUGGUUGCCAAGUUGAUGGGACUUGAUACCCUCCCUCACCAGCAGCCUGUUGCAGCUGCUGCACAAAGAAGCCACUCUAGAGAUUAUUCGAGGCGUUCUUUAAGUCACUCUGGGAUAUUUGUGGAGUCUUGGGAUGAAGAUCAUAGUUGUUUGGACAAGCAGAUGCCUAGUGAAGGUCACCUGUGCCAAGAGCAAAGUGAAUACAAAGAUGUCUAUGAAAUCUGGCAGCAAUCCCAAAAGACAAUGGUGAGACACAGUUCACCUCAAAAACGAAAUCACAAUGAAAAUGUAAAUACAAGAAAGAUGGCUCUUGUUCGCCAGAAGUUCAUGGAAGCAAAACGUCUGUCAACAGAUGAAAAGGGCCGCCAGUCCAAGGAAUUCCAAGAUGCACUUGAAGUGUUAAGUUCCAAUAAAGAUUUAUUCCUCAAGUUUCUGCAGGAACCAAAUUCAUUGUUCUCUCAACAUCUGCAUGACAUGCAAUCUAUGCCUCCAUCUCCUGAGACAAAGCACAUCACAGUUCUUAGGCCUUCUAAGGUGGUUGAUAAUGAAAGGUUUGCUGGGUCAGGGAAGAAGAGUGAUAAACCUACAAAGCAACAGGUACAUACUGGGCAAGCUACUGGGUGGGAAAGCAAUCUUGGAUAUUCUCCUGCCUUUUCCAAUGAGAAGAUUGUUGAAUACCCUCCUGCUCAACCCACUCGAAUAGUAGUAUUGAAACCUAGCCCUGGGAAGAUCCAUGACAUCAAGGCUCUGGUAUCACCACCCUCAUCACCACCAAGAAUGUUACACGGUGAAGAUUUUUAUGAUGAACCUGAAGAUGUUGAGGGUCAGGAACCAAGAGAGGUGGCAAAGUUGAUCACUCGGAACAUGCGUGAAAACCUGAUGGGCCACCGGAGGGAUGAAACUCUUCUUUCUUCCGUGUAUUCCAAUGGCUACACUGGUGAUGACAGUUCAUUUAACAAAUCAGUAAAUGACUAUG